This is a transfer RNA of Schizosaccharomyces cryophilus OY26, 73 nucleotides long. It matches the Rfam family "tRNA". Rfam says of the family: Transfer RNA (tRNA) molecules are approximately 80 nucleotides in length. Their secondary structure includes four short double-helical elements and three loops (D, anti-codon, and T loops). Lineage: Eukaryota; Fungi; Ascomycota; Schizosaccharomycetes; Schizosaccharomycetales; Schizosaccharomycetaceae. The record is from Rfam.
GGCCUCGUGGCCCAAUGGUUAAGGCGCCUGACUACGGAUCAGGAGAUUCCAGGUUCGACUCCUGGCGGGGUCA